UUUUUAAUCUAAUGAAACCCGGAAGAGAUUCUUUCUCGAGGAAUGGAAGGCACUACAAGAAAGAUAGACUCCUUUUCAAAUCGCCCCGCGGUGUUGAAAGGUUCUCGAGAUUAUAAAUCUUUCCAUUUUCUUUUUCCAUUAGAAGGAGCUUGUACAUGUUCGGCAGUACCACCUGUUCAUAGUAUGAAAGGUUCUUAAUGUUAGUUGAGUCCUUGGUUCCUCAAUUGAUUGACCCGCAAUAAUACCUAGCUGGCCAUGCGGGCUCGCAGACGUAAGUUGGUUUUUGUGAACUGCCCGAACAGCGAUAAAGCAAGAUGGGAAAGCAUGUUUUUUGGGCUAUUUUAUUCCCUUCUUCCGGCGGUUUACGAAAGAUCGCUCGCUCGGUGCAGUACCUCAUCGACGUUCAUUGCUGUACUUCGAGCUGCACUCCGCUGGUCACCCUCAAAAUCCUACAUAGCCGAGCCGUAAACUAGUUUACGGAAUGCGCUAGUAACUACCCUUUAUAUACGUAAGGGGAAUCAACUAUAUCCCUAUACCAAUGGUUGGGAAUAUUACUCAAAAUAGUGAUAUCGCUUAUCACUCAUACGAAUUCUCGCGUCGCCUAGUCCUCCUCCCAGAUCAUUUCUUUCGAAGUUAAUAAGGUCGAGAAUGACCUGCGAAGACAGGCGUUGUUCUUUUUCAAACUAUCCAUGAGUCUCUUAGCGACCUCUCGGACACACGGGACGAUGAUACCUGAGAAGGACCACCAACUUGACCAUAAGCAAGGGAGCGGUAGCCCAUGACUGUUACCGACUUAGUUAGUUGUCUGACCAAGAACUAGUUCAAAUUGUGGUGAUUCCAGGUAUGCUUGGAUGAAUUUAUAGAGGUUUAAAAAGGAAUUGCAGGAUGAUAUCGUCAAGAAAGAGUAAGACUUUGAAACAAUUUCAUUACAUUUUGGUCGGUCUUUUGAGCCCUCAAUUAACAUAAAGAAAGGGAGAAAGGGAAACGGGCAUGGGGUCGAAUAGGUCCAACAGAAGCAUCCUCACAAGCAGCCAAAGAUAGGCGAGGAAAAAAUUCCUUCGGGAAAGAUCAGCUCUAGAUAAGGAACAAACUUCAAACUUCGCGACAAAGGCAACAGAAACCUGCUUCCAUGCUGUCCUUGCUUGGCUAGCCAUUCCGACCUUAUCCGUCGCCCUCUUAUUUAUCAGCCAGCCCUGGCUACAGGUUGAAAUCUAAAUCAUUCUGUAACCACCUCUUUUUCUUUGGAAUGGCAUUUAUUUUCAUCUUCUUUCUCUACCUAAGUAGAGUAGAGCCAAACCCUCUAUGAGCCCUUUCCUUCUUUCUUUCAUGGAAGUAGGCUUAUUCCGCCUUAAAAGCUUGUGUUCUUAUUCCUAUCGCCCUUUCUUAAAUAGAAAUGGGCAUCUUCUUAUUCUUCAGCCUUAAUUAAAGGCUCUUCCCUGCCUAGCUCCUCUGAAAAAAGGAACUACCUUGCUUCGGCGCACGAUUCGGAAAACAGCCUCAAAUUGAGCUUUUACCUCUCCAACCGCUGCCCUAACGAGUGGGAAAAGAGAUAGAUCGGGGGUAUCGAUGUGGAUGAAAGGCAGAGAUGAGAGCGAAAGAAGAGGAGUGGAACGAAGCCUUAAAGGCGAGGCACCCGAAGACAAAAGCCAUUGGCUGAACACCAGCCGGAAAAAUCCUUAAUUCGAAAGACGACAAUCAAAGCAUCACGACUCGAGGAACAAUCCUCAAGGGAGUGAACCUGUGAGAUCGGUAGAAAACCCGUAAAAGGAAGCCGCUAGGCAUCAAGCCCUAUUACCUUAGACCCAAGGAGGGUGGCCGUUGUUGGGUGGUGAGUUGCAAUGAAAGAGCUGAGAAGUUUUGGAUGUACAUAGAAGGGUGAGACUUUCUCGGCUCAAGCUGGAACACUUUUUCUGUGCCUACAUACCGAAUCAGACAAGUGAAUCAAUCGGUGGUAUGUUCUUCUUCACGUGAUCGUGCUCUAGACCUAUGGGACUAACAACCACGGGGGCUUGCACUCCCUUUAUGACCAAGAUCAGGAGCUAUUCAUAGAGCCGAGGUGCCCCCGCCUAGGGAAGCAGAUCUAUCCUCUAAGGAGCGUUAGCCAUACCAUGUAACUACAACACGAGGGACCCUAAGGACGGAAGGGCUCUUUCUGAAAAGGCUUGGGUUGGCCAUUAGUGCUCUUUUGUUGUAAGCUUUUAGGCCUUUGGUCUGUCAGUUGCUGACGCCUUCUCUUCCUUUGGUCUAACCCUGAAGCUCUCACAGCGAGAUCAGAUACAGUUGACACCAUGCCGAACAUCAUUCGAGAUGCCACCUUCAACCAAGACUGAAAUGCUAAACACAGUUCAUUCGGUAGCUCACACGCACCGCUCAUUUAAAAGGAAGAGGGCAUGACCAGCUUCGAAUUCGGAUCUCUUUUAUGAUAGUCAUCACGAAUCCGCUUUCCUUUUUGACCUCAAUGACGACUCAUUCAUAGAUCUUUCAUCUUAGAGGGGGCCCCGAAAAAAGGUCAACAAAGAGUAGGAAGCUCUCAGGUACUUCAUCCUAGAAUGGGGUUUGUCUCCACUCGAUAUAGAUUACUGGGCUAGGUCAAUGGAGAAAGAAAUUACAGAAUGGCUUUGACUUGUAGCAGCAAGAUAGGCUGUCUUUGUUCCUGAGGCACAUACCUAAAAAAGGGUGCCAGCCCCAUAGCACAAGCUGGGGUAUCUUACCCGAUUAAGUUAGAUUUCAUAAGGCAAUGCCUACAACUAAGUAUAUAAGACCAGGCAAACAAGCAAUGAAAUUCUAUAGUUUGUGUAUACCUAUGUCCGUCAAAGCGCUAUUUGAGCCUACUAUAUGGAAAAAAAAAUAUCCGGUACACCUUUUUUAGCUCUUUCUAUCUAACAUACUCCCUUUCUCACGAAGCAAAAACAGAUUCUUUGGUGGCAGUGGCACUUCCAGAAACCGGAUUCCCAUCCACAAGGGAUAGGGAUAGGUGGGCGCUUAAAGAUAGGCAUACGUCGGCGUAGAAAGAAGAGAUCCAUUUUCUACAGAGAUAGUCGGGCCUAGCUAAUCCACUCACUCAGAAGAAGAAAGAGCACCCGAACCAACAUCUGUUGAAGGAAAUCGAUACUAUUUGAGGUCUGCCAAAGGUCUUUCAGCGCAGCACUUCCCUGGUAAGAAAACGGAGCUUCUAUUGAAAGUUUUUUUACCCUUUUGUGGACACACCCUGGGGGUUGGAACCUCUUGCUCUUAUGCUAAGGCAGAGGCUUUCUCAAUGCAAUGGCUUGCGUGGAUUCGCAUGCUUCGGAUGCUGGUGUAGCUUACACCCCUAGAAGGGAAAGAAAAN
RNAcentral lists this long non-coding RNA (3328 nucleotides) under Elaeis guineensis (African oil palm). RNAcentral describes it as "long non-coding RNA (EGUI_LNC042174)". The record is from RNAcentral. Lineage: Eukaryota; Viridiplantae; Streptophyta; Magnoliopsida; Arecales; Arecaceae.